UACGGAGGAUGCAAGCGUUAUCCGGAAUGAUUGGGCGUAAAGCGUCCGCAGGUGGCUGUGUAAGUCUGCUGUCAAAGAGCGAAGCUCAACUUCGUAAAGGCAGUGGAAACUACACGGCUAGAGUGCGUUCGGGGCAGAGGGAAUUCCUGGUGUAGCGGUGAAAUGCGUAGAGAUCAGGAAGAACACCGGUGGCGAAGGCGCUCUGCUAGGCCGCAACUGACACUGAGGGACGAAAGCUGGGGGAGCAAACAGG
Molecule: ribosomal RNA, 253 nt
Filed under: uncultured bacterium
Lineage: Bacteria
Description: partial 16S ribosomal RNA
Rfam family: Bacterial small subunit ribosomal RNA
Source: RNAcentral